RNAcentral lists this ribosomal RNA (497 nucleotides) under uncultured bacterium. RNAcentral describes it as "partial 16S ribosomal RNA". It matches the Rfam family "Bacterial small subunit ribosomal RNA", at positions 28 to 507 of the family's 1533-position model. The record is from RNAcentral.
GAUGAACGCUGGCGGCGUGCCUAAUACAUGCAAGUCGAGCGAACGGACGAGAAGCUUGCUUUUCUGAUGUUAGCGGCGGACGGGUGAGUAACACGUGGAUAACCUACCUAUAAGACUGGGAUAACUUCGGGAAACCGGAGCUAAUACCGGCUAAUAUUUUGAACCGCAUGGUUCAAAAGUGAAAGACGGUCUUGCUGUCACUUAUAGAUGGAUCCGCGCUGCAUUGGCUAGUUGGUAAGGUAACGGCUUACCAAGGCAACGAUGCAUAGCCGACCUGAGAGGGUGAUCGGCCACACUGGAACUGAGACACGGUCCAGACUCCUACGGGAGGCAGCAGUAGGGAAUCUUCCGCAAUGGGCGAAAGCCUGACGGAGCAACGCCGCGUGAGUGAUGAAGGUCUUCGGAUCGUAAAACUCUGUUAUUAGGGAAGAACAUAUGUGUAAGUAACUGUGCACAUCUUGACGGUACCUAAUCAGAAAGCCACGGCUAACUACGUG